AUUGAACGCUGGCGGCAGGCCUAACACAUGCAAGUCGAACGGUAACAGGAAACAGCUUGCUGUUUCGCUGACGAGUGGCGGACGGGUGAGUAAUGUCUGGGAAACUGCCUGAUGGAGGGGGAUAACUACUGGAAACGGUAGCUAAUACCGCAUAACGUCGCAAGACCAAAGAGGGGGACCUUCGGGCCUCUUGCCAUCGGAUGUGCCCAGAUGGGAUUAGCUAGUAGGUGGGGUAACGGCUCACCUAGGCGACGAUCCCUAGCUGGUCUGAGAGGAUGACCAGCCACACUGGAACUGAGACACGGUCCAGACUCCUACGGGAGGCAGCAGUGGGGAAUAUUGCACAAUGGGCGCAAGCCUGAUGCAGCCAUGCCGCGUGUAUGAAGAAGGCCUUCGGGUUGUAAAGUACUUUCAGCGGGGAGGAAGGGAGUAAAGUUAAUACCUUUACUCAUUGACGUUACCCGCAGAAGAAGCACCAGCUAACUCCGUG
RNAcentral lists this ribosomal RNA (490 nucleotides) under uncultured bacterium. Its description in RNAcentral is "partial 16S ribosomal RNA". It matches the Rfam family "Bacterial small subunit ribosomal RNA", at positions 30 to 507 of the family's 1533-position model. The record is from RNAcentral.